CGGGGUGUAGCUCAGCUUGGAUAGAGCGCAUGCUUUGGGAGCAUGAGGUCGCUGGUUCAAAUCCAGUCACCCCGA
Molecule: non-coding RNA, 75 nt
Organism: Planctomycetes bacterium DG_58
Lineage: Bacteria; Pseudomonadati; Planctomycetota
Source: Rfam